UACGUAGGGAGCGAGCGUUAUCCGGAAUUAUUGGGUUUAAAGGGUGCGCAGGCGGAGGUGCAAGUCAGCGGUAAAAGCCCGGGGCUCAACCCCGGCGAGCCGUUGAAACUGGCAGUCUCGAGUUGGAGAGAAGUAUGCGGAAUGCGCGGUGUAGCGGUGAAAUGCAUAGAUAUCGCGCAGAACUCCGAUUGCGAAGGCAGCAUGCCGGCUCCACACUGACGCUGAGGCACGAAAGCGUGGGUAUCGAACAGG
This 252-nucleotide ribosomal RNA is filed under the name uncultured Bacteroidales bacterium. Its description in RNAcentral is "partial 16S ribosomal RNA". It matches the Rfam family "Bacterial small subunit ribosomal RNA", at positions 524 to 776 of the family's 1533-position model. Lineage: Bacteria; Pseudomonadati; Bacteroidota; Bacteroidia; Bacteroidales. The record is from RNAcentral.